Molecule: long non-coding RNA, 525 nt
Organism: Triticum urartu
Lineage: Eukaryota; Viridiplantae; Streptophyta; Magnoliopsida; Poales; Poaceae
Source: RefSeq, a predicted model, not a curated record
CGAUUCACAUCUCCCACACGAGCUCCACCACAACGCCGCUGCCGCCGCCGCCUCUGAUUCGAGGAAACUCCGGUGCUCCCCUUCACCACGCCUCACCAGCUCGUCCCCCCUCUUGUUCUCCUCUGGCCCCGCCCCCAACCCCCACCGCCACGACGUCCUCCACGCCUCUGCACGGCGCGACGGUUCAUUGUUGUAGCUCAUGUGCUCGGCCCAGCAAUCCCACUUCCACACGCGAUCGGCUACCGGCUAGGCUCGAUGGCGCUGUUCCACCUUGGCUACCUCGACUCCGAUGUGACGGUUCAUGCCAAAAUUUCUUACAUAUUCAUCUUUGGGAGAAAGAUCAAGGCAUAUAGUGGGCUACUUCUGCAAAAGGAGGGAAGCAACAUAUUGCAUUUAAAGUGAAGCUUCCUCUAUGAUAUGGAGAUGCAAUCAUCCAUCUAAAGACAAGAUUGCCAAGAUAAAUCGAUGAUGCAUGGCUCAGAAGUUGAUUACAAGAUCGAGAAGGUGGCUACUACUAGAUAGUUU